Molecule: ribosomal RNA, 449 nt
Filed under: uncultured bacterium
Lineage: Bacteria
Description: partial 16S ribosomal RNA
Rfam family: Bacterial small subunit ribosomal RNA
Source: RNAcentral
AACGAACGCUGGCGGCAUGCCUAACACAUGCAAGUCGAACGAGAUCUUCGGGUCUAGUGGCGCACGGGUGCGUAACGCGUGGGAAUCUGCCCUUUGGUUCGGAAUAACAGUUGGAAACGACUGCUAAUACCGGAUGAUGACGAAAGUCCAAAGAUUUAUCGCCAGAGGAUGAGCCCGCGUAGGAUUAGCUAGUUUGUGUGGUAAAGGCGCACCAAGGCGACGAUCCUUAGCUGGUCUGAGAGGAUGAUCAGCCACACUGGGACUGAGACACGGCCCAGACUCCUACGGGAGGCAGCAGUGGGGAAUAUUGGACAAUGGGCGAAAGCCUGAUCCAGCAAUGCCGCGUGAGUGAUGAAGGCCUUAGGGUUGUAAAGCUCUUUCACCCGGGAUGAUAAUGACAGUACCGGGAGAAUAAGCUCCGGCUAACUCCGUGCCAGCCGCCGCGGUAA